GAUGAACGCUGGCGGCGUGCCUAAUACAUGCAAGUCGAGCGAACAGACGAGGAGCUUGCUCCUCUGACGUUAGCGGCGGACGGGUGAGUAACACGUGGAUAACCUACCUAUAAGACUGGGAUAACUUCGGGAAACCGGAGCUAAUACCGGAUAGUAUAUUGAACCGCAUGGUUCAAUAGUGAAAGACGGUUUUGCUGUCACUUAUAGAUGGAUCCGCGCCGCAUUAGCUAGUUGGUAAGGUAACGGCUUACCAAGGCGACGAUGCGUAGCCGACCUGAGAGGGUGAUCGGCCACACUGGAACUGAGACACGGUCCAGACUCCUACGGGAGGCAGCAGUAGGGAAUCUUCCGCAAAGGGCGAAAGCCUGACGGAGCAACGCCGCGUGAGUGAUGAAGGUCUUCGGAUCGUAAAACUCUGUUAUUAGGGAAGAACAAAUGUGUAAGUAACUAUGCACGUCUUGACGGUACCUAAUCAGAAAGCCACGGCUAACUACGUG
Molecule: ribosomal RNA, 497 nt
Filed under: uncultured bacterium
Lineage: Bacteria
Description: partial 16S ribosomal RNA
Rfam family: Bacterial small subunit ribosomal RNA
Source: RNAcentral